This is a long non-coding RNA of Gadus morhua (Atlantic cod), 3645 nucleotides long. RefSeq lists it as uncharacterized. The transcript has 2 exons. The record is from RefSeq and is a predicted model, not a curated record. Lineage: Eukaryota; Metazoa; Chordata; Actinopteri; Gadiformes; Gadidae.
GGUCAGCCAUCUCUUCUUCGUUCGUUACCAAACUCCGGUUGCAUUGUGGGAUAGCGUAGUGAACCCCGUUGUUUACUGUGGUGGUAGCACGCGGUCGGACGCGCUAUAUUUGUGGCGUACUACAAAAUGCAUACUUUAUAGCAGUCAAGUGUGAGUAUUCGGAUUCAAAGCUACCAAAUGAAGAAAGGCUAAAUGUACAUAUUCCAUCUAUUUAAAUGUGUGGAUUGAAUAUUGAAUUGGUAGCUGUGUGACCUGUAUUCCAUUUUACAUCUGAAAUGUUUUGUAAAGACAUGUGCUACUAGACUUGUAACUGUGGAAUAGUCACCAGAAAGUAAAAACAGGCACCAUGGGAUUGCCAACUCCAUAUGCAUUUAUUUAAAACUUGCACAUUGAUGGCAAAGUGCUUAGCAGAAACGGUUCUCUAAUUUGCAUUUAAACAUUACAUUGAAGAUGAAGAACAGUUUAUUGAACCAUUGCAGUGUAAGAAAAAAGAACGAGCUAGUGGAGCAUUAGGAAAUGCGAACGUAAUAUAUAAAAAUAAUGUAUACAAAAGUGUAGCAUUAACAAACUGCUUUAUCAUUGCCCCUACAACUUAACAAACAAAUAACAUUUAAUUUUACCACUAUUUUGCUGUAGGGGGGAGAAUCAGUGUGUGCCGUCUUGAUUUGAGCCUUGCAAAUUCGUCAAUGACCUCAUCCUCAGUGAUAUCUCCAACCAGCUCUCUUUCUAUUGACAGUACUGCCAAUUCAUUGAGCCUCUCCUGGCCCAUAGUGGACCUAAGCCACGUAUGAAGUCGGCGUAGAGCACUAAAGGACCGCUCACAGCUGCAACUGCUGACAGGGAUAGUCAGUGCCACCUGCAAGAUGGCCCUCAGUGACGGGAACAUCAUAGAGUCCAGGAGCUUGAAGACACUGAGGGUGUCCGGGAUGGAAUCUGGAUCCUUCCUGCUCAGGAAGCUCUUUGCCACCAAGACCUCUUCUGGGACCAGCUGUAUGUGGUAGUGUGUAGCCAGUUUCUCCAGUGACUGCAGACAGAGGAAGGAUUUGGAGGCUGGGUGGCAUGCCUGGAUUCCAUCCAUUAGCUCUCCCGCAACAGUGGAAAACCGGUGGCCCAGUUCAUUGAUCAUCCGAUCAAUGCACGGGAAGAAAAGCCCCUGCUUCAGACACUCUGAGUCGUUAAGCAGGUCAGAGCCCGACCCAGUAGACGCCUCCACAACAAAAUCAUCCAUUCUCCUCUGCUUUCUCCUUGGAGCAGGAGAGGGCUCGGGAAGGUUGUGAUCAGAGCAGAGCUGCUUUGUGACCUCAUAGAGUUCCUCAGCCACCUGUUCAGUUCUUUGACUGACCAAGGUGUCGUGGAUGGCACUCUUGAAUUGGACUGCCCUUGCAAGGUCAAUGGAUGUCCCCUGCAGGAACCUGUGGAAACCCUCUGUGAUACCCAAAAGCCUUUGGAUAACCACCAGUAAAUAUACUGUUGUCCUCUUUGACAAUUUAGAGAGAAGCCCCACUGCUAUUGGUGUAUUCAGCAUCUGCAGACUAGCAAUUACUGCAGGGAAAUUCCUCAAAAGGGCAUUUAUUGAGUUGACCUGGCAUGACCAUCGCGUUGAGGAUAUCUGGACCAGUUCACGCCGCUCAAUGUUCAGCUCUUUCUGCACAGCCACCAACUGAUCAUGGCUUUUGAUCGAGGUGCUGAAACAGGAAUACAGGCUUUCCAGCAUGUCAAAAAAAAAGCUUGCUUCCGGAAUAGCCUUGCAAGUAUGACAGAGCACCAAGUUCAGCUCAUGUGCAUAGCAGUGCACGUAGAUGGCCUCAGGGUGUUUUUCACGGAAACGAGUUUGCACGCCUCGCACUGACCCGCUCAUCACCGCUGCGCCAUCAUAUGACUGGGCAACAACUUUGAGACCGUCGAUGCCAUGUGAUCCCAGGACCUCCUCAAGGGCAUUUGUUAUGCUCUCCGCGUCAUACCCUCCCAGUCUUCUCAAACAAAGGAAUCGCUCCCUUAUGCGUUCCUGAAAGACGUAACGGACACAAACAGCAAGCUGCUCAGUGUUUCCAUCCUUGGCCUCAUCAGCCAUGAUGGAAAACAUUUUAGCUUCCCUCACCUCAUCCCUUAUCCUUGAUGUGAGCAGUGACGAGGAACACUUAAUGAAGUCAUUUUGGGAGGAAGGUGAAAGAUAGGUGGCAUUAGCAGGAGCAUUAUACUGUUGCAGGAAGGGAUCAAAUUUGGACAACAGCUGAACGCAUUCAAGUAAGUUUCCUUGGUUGGAGCUGCCCUCACCCUCGCAGUGCCCCCUGAAUGCAAUGCCUUGCUUGGCCAAGAAGAGCAUCACAGAAACAACGCGAUGGAGAUACAGUCUUCUUUCUUUGAUCUCCGCUGCACUAGCAGCAAGUAUUUGCUCGGUUACAUCCCCAUGGACCUUGGUUGCCUUUUAACCUAUCCAGGCCAUCAUGGAAGCCUUGUGAAGAGCCGUCUUCUCAUGUUCCCUAAAAGAAUCAAGAGCCCUCUUCCAAUUACAAUAGCCAGUGGUGGCCAGGCCAUCUUUAUUUGCCCUCUUCUCCGGUUUGCUGAACACCCGACAGCAAAAACAUAAGGCAGCAUUUUUGGCUACAGAAUAUUCAAGCCAGUUGAAUGAUUCGUACCAGAUCUUUUGGAAUGACCUCUUCUGGAGUCCAAAAUAGGUAGAUGGGAAGUUGAUGUCUUUCACCUGCUUCGGACCUGUGUCUGGACUUCCUAAUGUGCCCUCUCCUGUCCUUCCCUCAUCACUCCUCUCUGGCUCAUCUGUGAUGCAACAAAAUUAAGAAGCAAAGUAAGCACCUCUCCUCCAUUUAUAUACUAUUAAACCUUCUUAAAUAUUUGUUAUUCUAUGUCUAAUCUAAUCACCUUCAUUUUCUUGUUUUAGAAGCUGACACUCGGACAGUCUAUGCUGUGAUAGUAGCACUUCUAAAGGUAGAGGAGCCAUGUCAGGUAACCUUUUGACCCAGAAAAUAUACACAACUAGCUGUGCAAAAUAGACAUUUUGGUGAGGAUCUCGGAGGUGACCAUGUGAGAACAAAAAAAAUGACGACAGGUCCAACAAACAGGAUUUUAGGACCAAGACAGUCAAUGGUGCCUCGUCUUUGAACCAUGACGGUCAACAUGACACUGUUGGCCGCUUGAGGACAACACUCCCCGUAACUGAAAAUGUACAAAGGUGAAAAUGUACAUGUAAUGUGCUCUAGAUAGAUGGACGCUUUACGGGCUAAUUCAAUUUGGCCCUCCAAUCUUCGUGUUUCUGCCUAAUCCAUCCAUACAGUUAAGUGCAAGAUGCACACACCCAGGUGCUUGCCUGGUAAAGAAAAACUAAUCAGAGGGAAACAAAAGAAAGACCUGCACACAUUCUAAAAACCUCCCACAAAUCUUAAUUUCACAACAUUUCCAUCAGGAUCUCAUUUGCUCUGUGAUUUUAAGGAAGAUCCUAAGUGAUUGAAAUGUUAGGAUUUGUGGGAGCAGCAAGAAUGUGUGCAGGUCUUUCUUUUUCUUCUUUCUUAUUCUUAAAACUCUGCCUCUUGAUCUCAAGCAGGCGUGUGUUGAAUGAUACAAUGAAUGUGAUUGUGAAUGUUACAAUACGUUGUGUUGCUUUAGAUCACUGAAGCUUAAUUUAAAUAAUGA